This 483-nucleotide ribosomal RNA is filed under the name Enterococcus faecalis. RNAcentral's name for it is "bacterial SSU rRNA". It matches the Rfam family "Bacterial small subunit ribosomal RNA", at positions 51 to 506 of the family's 1533-position model. Lineage: Bacteria; Bacillati; Bacillota; Bacilli; Lactobacillales; Enterococcaceae. The record is from RNAcentral.
AUACAUGCAGUCGAACGCUUCUUUCCUCCCGAGUGCUUGCACUCAAUUGGAAAGAGGAGUGGCGGACGGGUGAGUAACACGUGGGUAACCUACCCAUCAGAGGGGGAUAACACUUGGAAACAGGUGCUAAUACCGCAUAACAGUUUAUGCCGCAUGGCAUAAGAGUGAAAGGCGCUUUCGGGUGUCGCUGAUGGAUGGACCCGCGGUGCAUUAGCUAGUUGGUGAGGUAACGGCUCACCAAGGCCACGAUGCAUAGCCGACCUGAGAGGGUGAUCGGCCACACUGGGACUGAGACACGGCCCAGACUCCUACGGGAGGCAGCAGUAGGGAAUCUUCGGCAAUGGACGAAAGUCUGACCGAGCAACGCCGCGUGAGUGAAGAAGGUUUUCGGAUCGUAAAACUCUGUUGUUAGAGAAGAACAAGGACGUUAGUAACUGAACGUCCCCUGACGGUAUCUAACCAGAAAGCCACGGCUAACUACGU